GGAGCACCUUUCAGCAACUCCUUCUUGCCAAACUGAGGAGAGAAAUACCACCAGUCUUUUGUCGAAGGGUGAUGCUUGAAGGUAUAGAAAUGCCUAAACAGAGAGAGGGAUGGUUGAACCUCGACUACGUGGCAAAGGAAGAGGAAUCCUAUCAAAAACCUAAAAAUAUUCGGAGCAACUGAAGCUAAAGAGAUAUCUAAGA
This 202-nucleotide long non-coding RNA is filed under the name Elaeis guineensis (African oil palm). RNAcentral's name for it is "long non-coding RNA (EGUI_LNC066827)". The record is from RNAcentral. Lineage: Eukaryota; Viridiplantae; Streptophyta; Magnoliopsida; Arecales; Arecaceae.